RNAcentral lists this ribosomal RNA (463 nucleotides) under uncultured bacterium. RNAcentral describes it as "partial 16S ribosomal RNA". It matches the Rfam family "Bacterial small subunit ribosomal RNA", at positions 28 to 507 of the family's 1533-position model. The record is from RNAcentral.
GACGAACACUGGCGGCGUGCUUAACACAUGCAAGUCGAACGGAAAGGCCUUUUCGGAGGUACUCGAGUGGCGAACGGGUGAGUAACACGUGGGUGAUCUGCCCUGCACUCUGGGAUAAGCCUGGGAAACUGGGUCUAAUACCGGAUAGGACCGCACUUUAGUGUGUGUGGUGGAAAGUUUUUUCGGUGUAGGAUGAGCCCGCGGCCUAUCAGCUUGUUGGUGGGGUAAUGGCCUACCAAGGCGGCGACGGGUAGCCGGACUGAGAGGUUGGUCGGCCACAUUGGGACUGAGAUACGGCCCAGACUCCUACGGGAGGCAGCAGUGGGGAAUAUUGCACAAUGGGCGCAAGCCUGAUGCAGCGACGCCGCGUGGGGGAUGACGGCCUUCGGGUUGUAAACUCCUUUCGCCAGGGACGAAGCGUUUUGUGACGGUACCUGGAGAAGAAGCACCGGCUAACUACGUG